AGAUGGGAGAGAGUUUCCUGUGGGCAAACUUUAGGUUGUAAAUUGACUCUUGUCUCUAGAGACAAUCUUCUGGUGGGAGAGAUUUCCAGCUCUGGGGCUUCUAGAUGCCCUGGAAUACACUUGUGUCAGUGACAAAUGCUGCUUUGCUGUGCUACACCGAGUACAAGGUCGUGAGAAAUACAUGGGCUAUCUUCAGCACAGAACACAAACUCUGCCUUCUUUUCUCAAGUCCAGUGAUUCAAGUUUGACACACCACACCACGGUGGAUGUGCCUUUCAUGACGCAUCUUCUCAGCAGCACUAGAAGAUACAUCCAAAGUCCUGUGAGCAAGGUCUGUGGUAUCUGUUUAUUAUGGCAGCCCAGUGAGACUAAGACAGGCCAUCAAAAGACGUGAACGUUUUGGACCUUCUCUUGGGCCCUAGUAAACAGAAAUCAGGCUACUUAUUAAACUAAACCACGUUCUGAACUGUUACUGCUACUGGAAACCAGUCCCGAUCCAGACCCCAAAAGAGGAUUCUUGGAUCUUGCACAAGAAAGAAAGGAGAGGGACCUGUAGUCAUUACCUUCAAGGAACCUAAAUCCUGGUGUCUUUAUGGUUAUGGGUGGCAUAUAAUAUACAGACACAGUGAAGGAGUGAGAUGUGAAGGUGCUCUGUCAUUGCCUCAGUCAAGACUUUCAUGGUACAUUGGAAGAAAGAGAAGCGUGAACAAAUUGCAUGAUACUUGAGGUCAUGCUGUGUACCUGUAUUGAACAAGAAUAAGGGAAGAAAGCUGGGAACCUGGAUCUCCCAUAUAUUGGAAGUUUUGUAAAAACCUUGAGGGUCCCUUCCACUACAUAUGGGGAUUAUGGGAACUGCAAUUCAAGAUGAGAUUUGAGUGAGGACACAGCCAAACCACAUGGUUUUAGAACAUUGACGAAGAGAGAAGACAACCCACUUUGCCAUAUAUGCCCAUGGUCUUACCAAGGCUAGAGUACAGUGGCACAGUCAUAGCUCACUGCAGCCUUAAACUCCCAGACUCAGGCAAUGGAUCCGAUCCUCCCACCUCAGCCAGCCUCCCAAGUAGCUGAGACUACAGGAGUGGCUGCAUAUGUGUCCCGUUUGUGCGUAUCUGCAUAUAAGAGAAGUUGAGAAAGGGCACAAGAAUGAGGUGACUGCGUGGACAUAGAGCGUAUUAUGAAAGACAAACUCUCCCACAUCCCUCCCAGCAGCGGCUCCAGAAUUUCUUCUUCUCCCCUGAAAACUAACAAGAGAGACUGCCACCAGAUUACUCUUAUCUCAGCACCCAGCUUUGCUUAUUGUUUAUCAGUCACUGAGAAUGUGUGAGGCUCUGAGCUAAUAACUUUUAGAUACAUCUUCUUAUUUAGCCUUUAGAGAAAUGCUGUGAGAUAAGUACUGUGUUAUUGGCCCCAUUUUAAAAUUAAUGGGAUAGAAACCCUGCAGGGCAACUCACCCUGGGUCAGCAGCUGGCAUAGAGCUGAGCCCGGGUCUGAGCUGAACUCAGUUUGCCCACAGACCCUCCGCACCACCGCACUAUUAGGUCCCCUUUAUCUGGCCCACUAUUUCAUGGUCACGUGCAUCAUUUCUGUGCUUUGCCACAUUGUUUUAAUUUCUUUAACUCACAGUAUUAUUUCUGUGAGAUAUUUCAGAGGCAAGAAUUCCUCCAUAGUAGGAAUUGUGUCUACUUAGUAGGCUGUGUCUACUUAGCUCGCAUUUCUCAGUGUUUGUCAGUUUCUCUGCAGUGACAGGUCCCCUAAAAUGGGUUACAUCACAAAAAUGAUUUCGGAGCCACAAUUUAAAAAUAAAAAUGAAA
This 1811-nucleotide long non-coding RNA is filed under the name Homo sapiens (human). RNAcentral describes it as "HSALNT0078816". Lineage: Eukaryota; Metazoa; Chordata; Mammalia; Primates; Hominidae. The record is from RNAcentral.